CAAUUCUCUCUGAAUCUGCGAACGGCUCCGCAAACCAGUUGUAAACCGAGGCGAGGAUGCCCACCCCCUGUCCGGGUAAAACCGGGCUGUGGGGUGCGGUUAUAGGGAUACCCCUGGUAAUUCUGAGGCUAAUACUCGUUUCGUACCCCCUGGACCACCCCAUUUGCAAGGUGGCUGGGGACCGUGCGAUCCGGAUAAAGGCGGUAGGAUUUUUUUAAUAAAAAAUUACCACGAAAGGGCGCACAGUCAAACCGCGGAACUCUCUUUUAAUUAAGGGGGGACGGCUUUUUGCCGGUCCUCGCGGGUCUUGCACGGUGCUUCUGACCUAUCAACUGUACGGCAGUGUCAGGGACGUGCCGUGGUUACAACGGGUACAGAGGAUUAGGGUUUGAUCCCGGAGAGUGGGCCUGAGAGAUUGCUCACACUUCUAAGGAAGGCAGCAGGCGCGUAACGUUCCCAUUGGCAAAGCCCGAGGGCGUUAGGGGACAUAUGAAUGUCCGCCGAAAUGGUGGACAAUUCAAAUGGGAC
This 528-nucleotide ribosomal RNA is filed under the name Kelleromyxa fimicola. RNAcentral describes it as "bacterial SSU rRNA". It matches the Rfam family "Eukaryotic small subunit ribosomal RNA", at positions 72 to 520 of the family's 1831-position model. Lineage: Eukaryota; Evosea; Eumycetozoa; Liceales; Liceaceae. The record is from RNAcentral.